Molecule: ribosomal RNA, 253 nt
Filed under: uncultured bacterium
Lineage: Bacteria
Description: partial 16S ribosomal RNA
Rfam family: Bacterial small subunit ribosomal RNA
Source: RNAcentral
UACGUAGGUGGCAAGCGUUGUCCGGAUUUACUGGGCGUAAAGAGCGCGCAGGCGGUCGUUCAAGUCGCGUGUGAAAGCCCCCGGCUCAACUGGGGAGGGUCACGCGAUACUGAUCGACUCGAAGGCAGGAGAGGGUAGUGGAAUUCCCGGUGUAGUGGUGAAAUGCGUAGAGAUGUGGAGGAACACCGAUGGCGAAGGCAGCCCCCUGGGGUAACACUGACGCUCAUGCACGAAAGCGUGGGGAGCAAACAGG